UCUUUGAUUUUGUUGCCGUUGAAGAUGGCUCCAGUGACUCAGAAACAGAAGAUUUUCACUCUAAAGACCAGUCUGCCCCUACAGAUAAGGAUGUGGUUUCAGGAAACUUGGACACGGAGGAUUCAGAAGAAAGGGCUACUCUUUCAAGCAGGACUGACCUCUCGGAGAAGCCUGUUGAAGACACCAAGAAAUUGCCAUUCGAUCCAAAAAGGAAACCCAAAAGGCCCUGGUUCCAAAGAGAGGGGGAGAUCAUUGAACAGCAUUUAAGAGAUUCCUGAAGGAAAUGAAGAUCCCUGGCAAACUAGACUGUGAGAAAUGCUUACAUGAAAACAAUAUUUUAAAGGAUAAUGGCAGAGAUUGGAAAGCUGUGAAAUAUUUUGUUCACAACAGAAUCACUUCUAUGAAAAAAAAAACAUUUGAGUCAGGGGUAUUGAAACAAUAAAUACUGAGAGCUCGCAUUGUGGAUGAUCAGUGUUCAAUGUCAUUCUGGGAGCUCGCAUAUGGAGUAUCAAUGUAGAGUGUUAAUACUGAGAGUCCAGUAAAAUGGAGCAUUCAGUGUUAGAUUCAUAGCAUU
This is a long non-coding RNA of Acanthochromis polyacanthus (spiny chromis), 574 nucleotides long. RefSeq lists it as uncharacterized. The record is from RefSeq and is a predicted model, not a curated record. The transcript is spliced from 3 exons. Lineage: Eukaryota; Metazoa; Chordata; Actinopteri; Pomacentridae.